AUUGAACGCUGGCGGCAGGCCUAAUACAUGCAAGUCGAGCGAGCGGCGGACGGGUGAGUAAUGUCUGGGAAACUGCCUGAUGGAGGGGGAUAACUACUGGAAACGGUAGCUAAUACCGCAUAUCAUCGGAUGUGCCCAGACGGGAUUCGCUUGUAGGUGGGGUAACGGCUUACCUCGGCGACGACCCCUAGCUGGUCUGAGAGGAUGACCAGCCAGACUGGAACUGAGACACGGUCCAGACUCCUACGGGAGGCAGCAGUGGGGAAUAUUGCACAAUGGGCGCAAGCCUGAUGCAGCCAUGCCGCGUGUGUGAAGAAGGCCUUCGGGUUGUAAAGCACUUUCAGCGGGGAGGCGUUACCCGCAGAAGAAGCACCGGCUAACUCCGUGCCAGCAGCCGCGGUAAUUC
Molecule: ribosomal RNA, 406 nt
Filed under: uncultured bacterium
Lineage: Bacteria
Description: partial 16S ribosomal RNA
Rfam family: Bacterial small subunit ribosomal RNA
Source: RNAcentral